GACGAACGCUGGCGGCGUGCUUAACACAUGCAAGUCGAACGGAAAGGCCCUGCUUUUGUGGGGUGCUCGAGUGGAGAACGGGUGAGUACCACGUGAGUAACCUGUACUUGACUUUGGGGUAACUUAAGGAAACUGGGGCUAAUACCGGAUAGGAGCUCCUGCUGCAUGGUGGGGGUUGGUCAGUUUCGGCGGUUGGGGAUGGACUAGCGGCUUAUGAGCUUGAUGGUGGGGUAGUGGCUUACCAAGCCUUUGAAGGGUAGCCGGCCUGAGAGGGUGACCGGCCACAUUAGUACUGCGAUACGGCCCAGUCGCCUACGGUAGGCAGCAGUGGAGAAUAUUACACAAUGGGCGGAAGCCAGACACAGCAACGCCGCGUGCGGGAUGACGUCCUUCGGGUUGUAAACCGCUUUCGCCUUAGACGAAGCGUGAGUGACGGUAAUGGGUAAAGAAGCACCGGCUAACUACGUG
Molecule: ribosomal RNA, 468 nt
Filed under: uncultured bacterium
Lineage: Bacteria
Description: partial 16S ribosomal RNA
Rfam family: Bacterial small subunit ribosomal RNA
Source: RNAcentral